RNAcentral lists this ribosomal RNA (498 nucleotides) under uncultured bacterium. RNAcentral's name for it is "partial 16S ribosomal RNA". It matches the Rfam family "Bacterial small subunit ribosomal RNA", at positions 30 to 523 of the family's 1533-position model. The record is from RNAcentral.
AUUGAACGCUGGCGGCAUGCUUUACACAUGCAAGUCGAACGGUAACAGGCCGCAAGGUGCUGACGAGUGGCGAACGGGUGAGUAAUGCAUCGGAACGUGCCCAGUCGUGGGGGAUAACGCAGCGAAAGCUGUGCUAAUACCGCAUACGAUCUAUGGAUGAAAGCGGGGGACCGUAAGGCCUCGCGCGAUUGGAGCGGCCGAUGUCAGAUUAGCUAGUUGGUGGGGUAAAGGCCCACCAAGGCGACGAUCUGUAGCUGGUCUGAGAGGACGACCAGCCACACUGGGACUGAGAAACGGCCCAGACUCCUACGGGAGGCAGCAGUGGGGAAUUUUGGACAAUGGGCGAAAGCCUGAUCCAGCCAUUCCGCGUGCAGGAUGAAGGCCCUCGGGUUGUAAACUGCUUUUGUACAGAACGAAAAGGUCUCUAUUAAUACUAGGGGCUCAUGACGGUACUGUAAGAAUAAGCACCGGCUAACUACGUGCCAGCCGCCGCGGUAA